Papaver somniferum (opium poppy) is the source of this 546-nucleotide long non-coding RNA. RefSeq lists it as uncharacterized. The record is from RefSeq and is a predicted model, not a curated record. NCBI's taxonomy places the organism in Eukaryota, Viridiplantae, Streptophyta, Magnoliopsida, Ranunculales, Papaveraceae. The transcript is spliced from 2 exons.
CAAAUAGAAGAAUCUGGGAAUAUUAUUACAAAGACGAACGAAAAGUAAAAAAAAAAAAACGUUGGAUUUUAGCUUUGAAAGAACACUUAUAACAAUAAUACAAUUAGACCUGGAUACAAUUUGGGAUCGAGAAUGGAUGAGAAUAUGCAAAGAAUGUCUUAUAGUAUAUAAAACUGAAGAAAGAAUAUGGGAGGUCGAGCGCAAUUCAAAGUUAUAUGUAUUUGGUUUAGGGUUAAAUGACUAGCAGAAGUCAAAUAUGAUUAAAAGAAGUGCGUAUCUAAAGUAUGUACACGUAAGACUAAAAGGAGAGGUUGAGUCGGGGCCGUAAGGCCCUGGUGAUACCUAGUAUAGUCUAUGUAUAGGGUGGGAUGAAGCAAACAACACAAAACUUACAUUUUAGCUUGUGUUCCUAUAACAUCGGCUGGAACAUCCGAGAAUCGUCUUCAAAUUGAUUGAUUUUUGCUCCUGUAAUCACUCAAAUUUUAGCUUAUGCUGCUGUACAGCCAAAUUUCAGUUUGUUCUAUUCUAAUGAAUUAAUUUUGAUAA